Paramuricea clavata is the source of this 358-nucleotide non-coding RNA. NCBI's taxonomy places the organism in Eukaryota, Metazoa, Cnidaria, Anthozoa, Malacalcyonacea, Plexauridae. The record is from the annotation of a GenBank genome assembly.
UACACGCGUAAAAAUUGAGAAAAUCAACAACCUGUUGCAAGUUGAUAUCGACAGGCGUGAACAAGGUUGUGCGGCCCACUAUGAACAGUAUUGUCAACAUGUUGUUGCAGCAUUGUUCAACUGUAACAACUUGGAACAACAUGGUUGACAACUUGUUCAUAGUUGGCCGCACAACAUUGUUAACGCCUGUCGAUAUCAACUUGCAACAACCUGUGCGUUUUUAGCCGUGUAUAUAAUAUUUUUUCUCAGCGGUUUUCUAUAAUCGAGUACUUCAUGUAAAAAGAAUAUAAGGGAUCGUGAGAACUAUAGUUAUUUUUUGUUAGGAAAGGACGAUUAAUUGAUGAAUAUAUACAUUGAA